CUAUCAGUCUAGAAAAUUCUUCUGAUGACCACACCUCAAGGGCACUUUGAGGCUCAGGCAUCUGCCAUGUGUAACUAACAGCAGUGGAUUUCCAUU
This is a long non-coding RNA of Dipodomys spectabilis (banner-tailed kangaroo rat), 96 nucleotides long. RefSeq lists it as uncharacterized. The transcript has 3 exons. The record is from RefSeq and is a predicted model, not a curated record. Lineage: Eukaryota; Metazoa; Chordata; Mammalia; Rodentia; Heteromyidae.